UUUAUCUCCUCUCAUGUCUCUCUCUCCCCCGCUAUUUUGUAAGUUCUGUGUUGCCUUCCCUUCAAGCCAACCUAUUGUGAGCUGAUUGCAGCACACGAGGGAGACCUGGGCCCCCGUCGGCACCUGCCCUGCCUGAGGACCCAGAGGGAAGGCAGGGGCUGAGCAGGAGAGCCCCCAGGGCUGCGGCCGGAGCCUCCUCGUCCACCCCAGCCUGGCCGCGUGCCCCAGAGGCCGGAGCAGCUGUCCCCGCAGGCGGGCUCUUCCAGGAUCCCCCACGGAACUGCUGCACCACGGGGCUUUGGGUUGAGCACCAGAAAGGGCCCGUCCUGGUGGCACCAGCCACAAGGGACUGGGCAGCCGGACAGGGACUCACGGAGGUCCCAGGAAGCUGGGGACCCCGACGUGGGCGUGCCCAAAGAGGGGCGCCGAAGCCUGGCUGCGCACUCUCUGCCCCCUGCGAGGUCCGCGGGCUGUCAUUUGCUCACCCCACGGUGACGUCCCCAUGUCACUGCCUGGGUCCGGGAGGCAGGGGCU
Molecule: long non-coding RNA, 534 nt
Filed under: Dasypus novemcinctus (nine-banded armadillo)
Lineage: Eukaryota; Metazoa; Chordata; Mammalia; Cingulata; Dasypodidae
Description: lncRNA (ENSDNOG00000051865.1)
Source: RNAcentral